RNAcentral lists this ribosomal RNA (364 nucleotides) under uncultured bacterium. RNAcentral's name for it is "bacterial SSU rRNA". It matches the Rfam family "Bacterial small subunit ribosomal RNA", at positions 30 to 396 of the family's 1533-position model. The record is from RNAcentral.
AUUGAACGCUGGCGGCAUGCCUUACACAUGCAAGUCGAACGGCAGCGCGGGGCAACCUGGCGGCGAGUGGCGAACGGGUGAGUAACAUAUCGGAACAUACCCUAGAGUGGGGGAUAACGUAGCGAAAGUUACGCUAAUACCGCAUACGCACUAAGGUGGAAAGUGGGGGAUCUUCGGACCUCAUGCUCAUGGAGUGGCCGAUAUCUGAUUAGCUAGUUGGUGAGGUAAAGGCUCACCAAGGCGACGAUCAGUAGCUGGUUUGAGAGAACGACCAGCCACACUGGAACUGAGACACGGUCCAGACUCCUACGGAGGCAGCAGUGGGGAAUUUUGGACAAUGGGGGGCAACCCUGAUCCAGCAAUG